Oncorhynchus kisutch (coho salmon) is the source of this 1956-nucleotide long non-coding RNA. The record is from Ensembl. NCBI's taxonomy places the organism in Eukaryota, Metazoa, Chordata, Actinopteri, Salmoniformes, Salmonidae.
UGGAUAUUUUGGGAUGGCAAGGUCAUUGGAUAUUGUUGUCAGGGGUGGUGCUUGUAGGUGGGGCUGAAUUGGACUACUUAUCUCCGUGCAUCUUAAGCUUCCAUCUAUGAAUGAGAUUGCUUUUUGGAAAGAAACACCAUGAACACUCCACUACUGAUGUUUGGUAUGUGACCAUCACUAUCAAACUCUGCACACUUGCUAGAAUUUGUGUGUAUUAUCUCUGGACGCUGAAUGUCCUUAACAUUUGUAUGUUUCAUUUGUGCAGUUCUUCUGACUCUACCCUGCUACAGCGCACAUGGGCAGGUCAAUCCUUUUGGAAUUCCAGUCUCCGUCCAUGCUGGGAAGUUCUACGGCACGUCUCCCAGAGAUCACGUCUGCGGCGGGGUUAAUUAUAGAGAUCUAGAUUUCACCUGCUGUGAAGGAGUACGUCAUGAAGGGGCGGGGCUGUCCUGCUGUGGAAACAGGGUCUUUAACCUCACCCAGGCUUCCUGUUGUAAAGGUCAGUUAACUCUGAAUGUGAGCCAGCUGGUGUCAGAUUGCUGUGGGUGUAGGCCCUACGACCCACUCAACCAGCUGUGUUGUGACUCACGGAUCCUAACCAGGACCCAACCUCAUGCCAAGUGUUGUGGAAAAGAGCUUUACGAUGAAGACCACCAGCUUUGCUGUGGAAAUGUUUUGAAAGGAAGGAAGGUCCUGGCUAAAAUGUCCAGUCACCACCGAUGCUGUGGAGACCACCAGUUUGACCAGCAAAGCCACUGCUGCUGCUCUGAAACACUAUCCCCAGAGCCUCUCAAUGCAAGCUGCUGUGCAUCAACAAGUUCUAAUUACAGGGGAUUUGACGCGAGUUCUCCAAACUGUAUGCCAGGGGAGAGGCCCGAGGGUUGCUGUGUGAACCAUACAUCCUGCCAGGGGCAUCCUCACUCCCACCUCCAGACCCCUGUGGAAACACGCAGCCACACCCCAGGUCUCCACGAUGAUGCUGGCUGUGGCUCUCAGGUUUACAAUCCAGACAAAAAGACCUGCUGUGCCGGGAAGCUGUUCAAUAGGGUGCUCGGAAAAAACCUGUGCUGCGGUAAAACUCCCUAUGCUGUAGAGGACCGACGGGUGCUGUGCUGUAACCAGAUGUUGUACCUUGGGGUGGAGGCUGGGCACCAGUGCUCCCCAGGUGGCCACUUGUAUCUGCCAUCCCGUGAAAUUGUGUGUGAGUCACGCGUUCAUCUCAACGAUCUAGGCAAACACUGCUGUGGAGAAGAGACCUACUACCCUCAGGAUGAAAUCUGCUGCAACGGACACAAACACCACAGGUUGGGGAACAUGUCCUGCUGCGGAGGGAAGGCCUACGACCCCAGCAGUGGCCAGAUGAAGUGCUGUGCAGAUACUCUGUACAACCUGCAGGUUCAGGACUGGCUCUCAGAGGAUGCCCAGUGCUGUGGGAAUAUCCUGAUGGAGGCCGGCUCCACCUGCUGCUCCGCCCCAGGACUAGACCUGCUCUACCCUACCCAGCCAGGGUUCACCUGCUGUGGGCACCGCUACCCCAACUCCUCCCUGUGGUCUUGCUGUGCGGGCGUCCUGCACCCAAGGACUGAACGAAACACCACCAGCAUGAACAUGAUUCCAGGACUUAGGAUUCUACCACUGGGGGACCUGAAGACAGAAAAGUUGUGUGACAACAAAGUUCUGCUAGGGACAGUGGAGAGUGUGUCUGUGAAGAAGAAUACGCGAUCCAUCGUGAUGGUGAACGUCAUGUCCAUGCAGGCCUGGCGUGGCCAUGUCAACGCUCUGCCUUCCCCUCACUACCUCACAUUACCCGACCACUGCAGCUCUCCUGAAUUGGUGCCAGGCAACACUUACCUCUGGGUGAAAACAAGACAUUUCCCAGACACCAUAAACGUAAUCUCUGAUCUCAGCGACCAUCCCUCCCCUCUCCAUUCCAUCCUCUCCAGGUGCUCAAAAUGA